Long non-coding RNA from Brachypodium distachyon (stiff brome), 1773 nucleotides. RefSeq lists it as uncharacterized. The record is from RefSeq and is a predicted model, not a curated record. The transcript has 4 exons. Lineage: Eukaryota; Viridiplantae; Streptophyta; Magnoliopsida; Poales; Poaceae.
CCGGCCCAACUCUAACAUUCACCCCUUGGUGGGCAGUAGGGCACGCUGGCUAGAUAGGGCACCGCCGUUGGAGAGCGGCAGUGCGGCUGACUGGCCGGCAGAAGGCCGCCGGUGGCGCCGGCGAUAUGUCUAGAGGUGAUGUGGUCUGAGUUCCGAUCGAGCUAAUGAUCCUCCCCGUCAAAAGCAAGAGCUUCUCCUGCCAUUCUGGAUACACGCUGAGCAAGAAUACUGUCCAAGUAAGUAGGAGUGAUGUGGUUUCGUAACCAGCGAAGAAGAAUGUUUUGCACUCAUCUAUGAUCUCGUCCAUGGCCAAGCUGAUCCGCUCUUGUUUCCCUCUAUCUGUCGCAGUGCAAUCCUUAAGCAUCAAGCCAAGCAGAUCAUUUCCAUUUCCACUCCCCUUUGACGCUAAUCGUGAUUCUAUGAUAUGCAUGAGCGUGUUCCUAAGCUUCUUUUCAAGCAUCCACUUCUGCCUAUUCCUUUCUGUAGGAAGGUAUCUGAUCUCAAAAGAACAAUGCCGGGAAUGAGUUAUCAUAUGGAUAGGCAGUCAAUGAAUUCAGUUCUUGUUGUACAUUGUAUGCUAGCAAAGCAUGAUGUAAAAAAAAAAGGUUAUGCAUGCAAAGCAUAAGGCAUAUUACUUGAAUCCUGGUAUCUGCACGUCAAGAGCACUUGCCAUGAAAUUUUCCUGGAGCUCUUUCAUCGCCUGGAAGGCUUCUAUUCCUAACUUGUAACUACUUCCGAAGGCUGUAUGGGAUAUGAUAUCUGCUGUUAACUCUUGGGCUGGUUUAUCGAACUCCAUUCGGAUUUCUCCAUGCUUGUUCUUCGAAUUCCUGGACCAUGUUUUGAGCGCAAGACGCCAUUGUUUUUGUCAUCAUCUGCAUCACGCAGCAAAGGGGGAAACAGAAACUGGAGGAGAGGCUCCGAUGGUACAUAUAAGCAAAGAAGAAAAAGCAGGAGAGUGGAGAGGCCUCAAAAGGUUCAAGGUACCGUGGCAAGGGUAACUAGCAUGCCAAACAAGCAAAGCGUCGUGAGCACCUUCCCUGAGCCUGCAACUCUGCCAAGCACUAGAAGGCGCAACACGACAGUACGGAAAAUGCUAUCAUUUCUAAGCUUCCAAAUUUGCCAAGCCACAGUGAUGAAGACCUCCACGAAAAAGGGUUUAGAGAACUCAGAUUUAGCAUGGAACAAGCGCUAAAGGAACGGACCAGGCAAAGCCCCAGAAUCCCCAGGCAGCGCCAACAUUCACGACUGAACUGGCAAUCAAAGAAGAGAUGAUCCCUCGAUUCUCUGAUGCCACUUGAACAAAGAAGGCAGGCAAGGAGGCCAUCUCAAUUGCAGUGCAGACGCUCCAGCAACCUUUGAAGAACUUGUAGGGGGGUCCAUGGAUCCCUUGCUCCCUGAGCUUCUUAGCUAUGGUGUAAGGCCUCCAUAUGAGGCGCACAAUGACGUAGUCCCAUAGCCAUGAGACAGCAAGAACUAGCAGAGGAAUCAGAGCCAGAGAAAGAGGAGAGGCCAUGGUGAAGAGAUGGACUUGUGUUGGAGGAAAGGAAGGUGCUGCAACAAAUAAAGCCCUUUGUUUGUUUGAAGAAUAUGAAGGGACUUGUACACGUCCUCAGCCAUGUAAUUUUUUUCUUAAUAUGAAGGCGGUGCGAUAUUUCAAUGUUGAAGAGGACGGUGAAUGAUGGACUCAAAAUACUUCCUUUCUUUUACAAAGAAACAAUGCAUGCAAACCAGGAAUAAAUAGUGCAGGACAAAACAAUUGUUUACACAUGAUAA